GACGAACGCUGGCGGCGUGCUUAACACAUGCAAGUCGAACGGAAAGGCCCUUCUUUUGUUGUUUGCUCGAGUGGCGAUCGGGUGUGUAUCACGUGAGUAACCUUCCCUUUACUUUGGGAUAACUCCAGGUAACUGGUGCUAAUACCCGAUAUGAGCUCCUGCUGCAUGUUGUGGGUUGGAUAGUUUCGGCGGUUGUGGAUGGACUCGCUGCUUAUCAGCUUCUUGGUGGGGUAGUGGCUUACCAAGGAUUUGACGGGUAGCCGGCCUGAGAGGGUGACCGGAAACAUUGGGACUGAGAAACGGACAAGACUCAUAGGGGAGGAAGCAGGGGGAGAUAUUACAGAAGGGGAGGAAGGCUGAUGUAGCAACGUCCUGAGCGGGAUGAAGGACUUCGGGUUGAAAACGGCUAUGGCCGGUGACGAAGAGUGAGUGACGGUAAUGAGUAAAGAAGCACCGGCUAACUAAGUG
This 468-nucleotide ribosomal RNA is filed under the name uncultured bacterium. RNAcentral describes it as "partial 16S ribosomal RNA". It matches the Rfam family "Bacterial small subunit ribosomal RNA", at positions 28 to 507 of the family's 1533-position model. The record is from RNAcentral.